CUGUAUUUAUUUUAUAUUUUCUUUUUUCUUCGUUCUCCCUUCUCACUCUUCUCCUCAACUCAGCUGGCGACGACGACCAACCAACAAAAAAAAGCCCUCGAUUGGUGUUUUUGGUUCCUCUCUAAAAUCCCCCCUCUAUCUCUUUCGAAAAUUCCUCGCCGCUGCUCUCUCCAUGAUGGUUCAAUUCGGGUUUGCUUAAAUCCUAUGACGAUGAACAAUCACAAGAAGGUAAAAUAAGUGAAGAAGAAAGUUAUUGAAGACAAGUAUGCUUAAGCAAAUCAAACAAUUUGUGCUUUUUUUACUGUAGCUCUAUAUAUGGAAUUGGAAUUAUUUUCA
Malus domestica (apple) is the source of this 336-nucleotide long non-coding RNA. RefSeq lists it as uncharacterized. NCBI's taxonomy places the organism in Eukaryota, Viridiplantae, Streptophyta, Magnoliopsida, Rosales, Rosaceae. The record is from RefSeq and is a predicted model, not a curated record.